UGACAAAAGCUAAAGGAAAGCAUUUAUGAUUCGUGGUGGAACUAAUCCGGUUAUAAAUAAAAAGGUAUCAAGGUUGAUAUUAAUCAUAUUAACAUUGAUUCGUGAAAGGCCGAUGUAGAAAUCCAAUUAUUUUUUAAUAUAAAAGACAUUGAAUACACAUAAAUCAAAUUAACACUUAUUUUGAAAUUCAAGAGCAUAGGACAUAUUAAACGUUUCUACUAUCACGUAGUUCACGUUACUACGAAUCCAUCGUGACAAGAAUGGGCUAAAACAGAGCUAAAACGC
Molecule: long non-coding RNA, 285 nt
Filed under: Sorghum bicolor (sorghum)
Lineage: Eukaryota; Viridiplantae; Streptophyta; Magnoliopsida; Poales; Poaceae
Description: long non-coding RNA (SBIC_LNC013653)
Source: RNAcentral